AGAAGAAAAGAAGAGGAGUGGAAGAAGCAGAGGUGUGACCCCAGGGGAAGAGCCUCUGGGACUCACUCCUUCUAGUCCACCUCUUCUUCCUUGAAGAUGGUCUAGAGCCCUCCACUGCGGCAGCAGAUGGCAAGUUUGACAGUCGUCCAGGGAAAACCAGUUCCAAUUCUCCAACCCCGUAGCAUAUCUGUUGUGUCACCGUUGUCUGAAGAAGGAAGGAGGACCCAGUGUCCUGUCGUCCCGGCAGGAGGAUGGAAAGUUUGAGGCCAGCCUCAGCCACUUAGCAACUUAGCGAGAACCUAACAGCACCUGCUGGCUGUGAGGUUCCCUCCCAGGUACUAAGCAGCAGAAAAAGAAAAGCCCAGCCACAGGAAAGUAAGGAUCUAGAGAAUUCAUUUUUUAAAAUAAAUAAGAAGCGGGGAGAGGAGAGCGAGUUCUUAAAAGAUCAAAAAUGAACAGGAAAGAUAUACAGACACCCUGGGCUUUGGAUCAUUCAAAUUAACAAUCUUUGCACUUUGCCCUGGAGAAAAGUGAUAAGGAUUCAGUAGAAACUUCAGAUUUGGGGCUUUGAUCUUUUUCCCAAGCCACUGAUAGCAGCAGACGCUCUCAGUGUUGGACACUCUUCUUCAGAACCUCACUGGUGGCCGCGCUGUGCAGCAGGUUAGGUUUGCAGAACACAAUCGACUCACAAUCUUUUAACUCACCACGUGCUCACGGGGACGUGGGCCUGUUGUUUAUCCAGGGGUCUGCGCUGGGGCAAAGACCAACUGAGGUCACCGUGGAAAGCUCAGUGUCCGGGACUCCUUUUGCUUUUUCAUUAAA
Molecule: long non-coding RNA, 822 nt
Filed under: Marmota monax (woodchuck)
Lineage: Eukaryota; Metazoa; Chordata; Mammalia; Rodentia; Sciuridae
Source: RNAcentral